RNAcentral lists this ribosomal RNA (233 nucleotides) under uncultured bacterium. RNAcentral's name for it is "partial 16S ribosomal RNA". It matches the Rfam family "Bacterial small subunit ribosomal RNA", at positions 118 to 351 of the family's 1533-position model. The record is from RNAcentral.
UGAGUAACCUGCCCUUAACUCUGGGAUAAGCCUGGGAAACUGGGUCUAAUACCGGAUAUGACUCCUCAUCGCAUGGUGGGGGGUGGAAAGCUUUUUGUGGUUUUGGAUGGGCUCGCGGCCUAUCAGCUUGUUGGUGAGGUAAUGGCUCACCAAGGCGACGACGGGUAGCCGGCCUGAGAGGGUGACCGGCCACACUGGGACUGAGACACGGCCCAGACUCCUACGGGAGGCAG